UAUUUUUAAAUUUACAGCAGGUUUAUUUGAAUGUGGCAUUGUGAGUUUGCAGUCUCCCUUUGUAGAAUUAAGAGAAAAUGUGGAGCCGUACUCUGACAGGGCACUUUGUUACCUGUGGGAGUUUGCAGUGUGAAUUAGUAUAUUGCAAAUCUUAAAGAUCUCUUUCUAAUAGGGGUAUAAACCCUGUGACAGUACAAACAUUAGGAGGAGAUGGUACUGAUUUACAGCUUUCUAGCUAAAGACAGGAAAGUUUUAGCUUUAUUUUGAGAUGAAAUAUGAAAUGUAAAGCUCACUUGAGACCAUAGCCUUUAAAAUACUUAGAAUCAGUCAGCUGAGGAAUUAACUUAUUCUCAAUAGGAGUUAACAUAAACUAUUUUAAAGCUCAGUGUUUACAUAGGUCACAAAAGUUGAAAACAGCUGGAGACAUACUUCAUGCACUAUUGCUAUCUACGUAAGUAAUGGAAUUUUGUAAGUGCAAUGUACAGUAAACAGCCUACUGAAGGAAAAAUACAAGAAACAUGAAUAGCAGUAAUUUGUUAGCUAGAGUAGGUUAACUCUUAUUGUGAUAAGGCUGACAGGCUUAUUAAUUAAUGACCAAGAUUCAGACCAGGUGCAUGAGAUUUCUUUUAGCUGCAGUUUGUACUGGGGUGUAACAAAUGCUGAUUAACAAAACAGUACUUACUCUAGAAGUUAACUGGGUGCCAGGUAUGCAUUUAAGGCCCUAUUCUUCAAGCUGCUCAGUGUUCCCUGUGAGGCAGUCAUCAACUAGGAGGAAUACUGGACCCCAUCUUGAAGGGAAAAAGAACAGAGAUUAA
Molecule: long non-coding RNA, 815 nt
Filed under: Cyanistes caeruleus (blue tit)
Lineage: Eukaryota; Metazoa; Chordata; Aves; Passeriformes; Paridae
Description: lncRNA (ENSCCEG00000023818.1)
Source: RNAcentral